Molecule: ribosomal RNA, 429 nt
Filed under: uncultured bacterium
Lineage: Bacteria
Description: bacterial SSU rRNA
Rfam family: Bacterial small subunit ribosomal RNA
Source: RNAcentral
UGGGGAAUUUUGGACAAUGGGCGAAAGCCUGAUCCAGCAAUGCCGCGUGAGUGAAGAAGGCCUUCGGGUUGUAAAGCUCUUUUGUUUGGGAAGAAAUCCUAAAGGCUAAUAUCCUUUGGGGAUGACGGUACCAAAAGAAUAAGCACCGGCUAACUACGUGCCAGCAGCCGCGGUAAUACGUAGGGUGCAAGCGUUAAUCGGAAUUACUGGGCGUAAAGCGUGCGCAGGCGGUUUUGUAAGACAGGUGUGAAAUCCCCGAGCUCAACUUGGGAACUGCACUUGUGACUGCAAGACUAGAGUGUGUCAGAGGGAGGUAGAAUUCCACGUGUAGCAGUGAAAUGCGUAGAGAUGUGGAGGAAUACCGGUGGCGAAGGCGGCCUCCUGGGAUAACACUGACGCUCAUGUACGAAAGCGUGGGGAGCAAACAGG